RNA transcript from Gossypium arboreum, 2616 nucleotides. RefSeq lists it as uncharacterized. The record is from RefSeq and is a predicted model, not a curated record. The transcript has 11 exons. NCBI's taxonomy places the organism in Eukaryota, Viridiplantae, Streptophyta, Magnoliopsida, Malvales, Malvaceae.
UUAGUUAAUUUGUGAUAAACCCAGUCGGAAGUAGUUUCUUGGUAUUUUGAGUAGCUUCAAAAUCUACUGGUCAAAACACACAAAAACGCCCAAAGAUUUUUUGCUUCCCUCCAAUUCAAUCCACUUAAUCUCAAACCUCAGACCCCAUUCGUCUUCUCUUAUCCCUAAAUCCUUCUUCCAGUUCUAAUAUAUUCAAAAAGUUAAAAUCCUAGCUUUUACUUUUACUUCCGUCAAGAGACUUUAUUAAUGGAGCUCACUUGUUUGCAUAACAAAUUCAAUUUUCCUUCUUUACCUCACCUUUCACGUCCAUUCUUCAAGAACCCUAACCCCAGAGUCUUCCCUCGAAAAAUAAACAUUCUUUUUCUAGCUUCGGCUUCGGAUACUGCUGUGGCUAGUUCAAUAAAGGAACUUGGCAGCAAGAAAGAUGAUGAAUUUGGGGACUUGAAAUCUUGGAUGCACAGAAAUGGCUUGCCCCGUUGUAAAGUUGUGCUCAAUGAGAGCACUUCACACGAUGAGAAGCAUAUGCCUGUACAUUAUGUCGUUGCCAGCGACGAUCUUCCGGCAGGUGACGUGGCGUUUUCGGUGCCCAAUUCAUUGGUUGUUACGCUUGAGAGAGUGCUGGGAAACGAGACUGUUGCUGAACUUUUGACAACGAACAAGUUGUCCGAAUUGGCAUGCUUAGCUUUAUAUUUAAUGUAUGAGAAGAAGCAAGGAAAGAAAUCAUUCUGGUAUCCCUAUAUUAGAGAGCUCGAUCGCCAACGAGGAAGGGGCCAGCUGGCUGUGGAAUCUCCCCUUCUAUGGUCAGAGGAAGAAUUGGCUUACCUAACUGGUAGCCCCACUAAGGCCGAAGUUCUUGAAAGGGCUGAAGGAAUAAAAAGAGAGUAUGAUGAGCUUGAUACUGUCUGGUUUAUGGCUGGGUCUCUCUUUCAGCAAUAUCCAUAUGAUAUACCUACUGAGGCUUUUCCAUUUGAGAUUUUCAAACAAGCUUUUGUUGCUGUUCAGUCUUGUGUGGUGCAUUUACAGAAAGUACCUUUGGCUCAGAGAUUUGCAUUGGUUCCUCUUGGACCCCCAUUGCUAGCUUACAGAAGCAAUUGCAAGGCAAUGUUAAGUGCUGUUAAUGGUGCUGUUGAACUAGUGGUUGAUCGCGCAUGUAAGGCUGGGGAACCCAUUGUUGUCUGGUGUGGACCACAGCCAAAUUCAAAACUGCUCAUCAACUACGGAUUUGUUGAUGAUGAUAAUUCUUAUGAUCGCCUGGUUGUUGAGGCAGCUUUGAAUACCGAAGAUCCUCAAUAUCAGGACAAGAGACUGGUUGUUCAAAGAAACGGCAAACUAUCAGUUCAAGUUUUUCAUGUUUAUGCAGGGAAGGAAAAAGAAGCUGUUUUUGAUAUGCUUCCAUAUUUGCGAUUGGGCUAUGUUUCAGAUCCUUCUGAGAUGCAAUCUGUUCUUUCUUCUCAAGGUCCAGUGUGCCCAGUUAGUUUGUUUAUUGCAAACUGCUAUUUAUUUGCAUACUUUAUUAACUGCAUCACUAAAUCGUAAUUGAAUCUAAGAUUUAUGUCCUACUCAAAUUGAAAUCCAGCUAAUUCUGUUAGAUGACUGAACAAACGUGAUUGAGAAAGAUCAUUACUUGUAGAAAAAAAGGUUUUCAGCAGUGGCCCUUUCUUCCUUUGAAAAAUUGUUUCUACUUGCACCUUUUAUUGACCAAUUAAAAUCCAGAUAUUAGUUUAGAACCAGUGAAAUUCCUUUUUCCUCCACUAAAAUUCUGGUGACAUACUUUUCAUAAUAGGUGAGUCCCUGUAUGGAACGAGCAGUGCGAGACCAGCUUGCUGAUUACUUCAAUAGACGUCUGGCUGGCUACCUUACUACACUGAACGAAGAUGAGUCAUUGUUGUCAGAUCCUAACUUGAAUCCCAGGAGACGAGUUGCCACUGAGCUAGUUAGGUUGGAGAAGAAAAUUCUCCAUGCUUGUCUGCAAGCAACAACUGAACUGAUAGAUGAGUUACCUGAUCACACUGUGUCUCCAUGCCCUGCACCUUAUGCCCCGUUGUUGAAAUGAAAGGUCUCUUUCUUACCUUCAAUGGCCAUUAUUAUGAAACUCAUCUUCACAUUGCCAGAAAACACACCAAUUGGUCUCUCAAAUCUCCUUUGGGAUUUUAAAAACUUAUUGGAUGUCUCAUUGCAUACAUAAAGUAAAGGAAGUUGCGGAUUCUGACUUCCACUUAAAGUUACAAUGGCAAAUAUUAGAGACUUGGGACCCAACUGACUGAUGCAAUGAACCUUUCAAUUGCACAUGGAAAGUAGCCGUACAUGAUAAAUGUGUUGAUUUGAGUAGAGGAGACAGAGAGGAAUGCAACAACAACCAAUUGAUUCCUUGAAAUGUGGGGUAUAUUUAACGUAGAGAGUAGAUUUUAUGUGAUUUGAUCUGUAACUCUUUAUCUCAUAAUUUCCAAUCUUUUGUUUUUAGCUCAAUGUAAUGUAAAUAGAAAGGGUACCACUAGCAGCUAUGCAACAAUCCUCUACAGACGUGUGUGUUCUUUUUUUAAUGAUGAGGAUUAUCGGACUGCGACCGAUAUUUAAUUAGAUUAUCUAACGUUAUAGAACUAGUGGUAUCAUCCCUUA